This 235-nucleotide ribosomal RNA is filed under the name uncultured bacterium. Its description in RNAcentral is "partial 16S ribosomal RNA". It matches the Rfam family "Bacterial small subunit ribosomal RNA", at positions 15 to 248 of the family's 1533-position model. The record is from RNAcentral.
GAUCCUGGCUCAGGACGAACGCUGGCGGCGCGCCUAACACAUGCAAGUCGAACGGUGAAGAGGAGCUUGCUCCUCGGAACAGUGGCGGACGGGUGAGUAACACGUGAGCAACCUGGCUCUAAGAGGGGGACAACAGUUGGAAACGACUGCUAAUACCGCAUAACGUAUCGGGAUGGCAUCUUCCUGAUACCAAAGAUUUUAUCGCUUAGAGAUGGGCUCGCGUCUGAUUAGAUAG